CAUUAAGAAGCUAACAUGGAUAGCGACAGCCUUUUAAGCUGUAGCUCGGUGAUUCCAACCACCCUUAAUGA
Molecule: transfer RNA, 71 nt
Filed under: Pseudotriton ruber (red salamander)
Lineage: Eukaryota; Metazoa; Chordata; Amphibia; Caudata; Plethodontidae
Description: tRNA-Lys
Rfam family: tRNA
About the family: Transfer RNA (tRNA) molecules are approximately 80 nucleotides in length. Their secondary structure includes four short double-helical elements and three loops (D, anti-codon, and T loops).
Source: RNAcentral